GAUGAAGAACGCAGUGAAAUGCGAUAAGUAAUGUGAAUUGCAGAAUUCAGUGAAUCAUCGAAUCUUUGAACGCACAUUGCGCUACUUGGUAUUCCGAGGGGCAUGCCUGUUCGAGCGUCAUUAUAACCCCUCAAGCUCAGCUUGGUGUUGGGGCCUGCUGCACUGGCAGCCCUUAAAAUCAGUGGCGGCGCCAUCUGGCUCUAAGCGUAGUAAUUCUUCUCGCUAUGGAGUCCUGGUGGAUGCUUGCCAUCAACCCCCAAUUUUUCUAUGGUUGACCUCGGAUCAGGUAGGGAUACCCGCUGAACUUAAGCAUAUCAAUAAGCGGAGGA
Molecule: unclassified non-coding RNA, 329 nt
Filed under: soil metagenome
Description: partial contains 5.8S ribosomal RNA, internal transcribed spacer 2, and large subunit ribosomal RNA
Rfam family: 5.8S ribosomal RNA (bases 1-120)
Source: RNAcentral